GCCUGCACCUGACCCCUGGAUAUGAUUCAUAGGGUUUCUGUCUGCUGCGGAGCCGGAGAAAGCAGCCAGCAAAGAUAUAUUAGCUCCUAUGUGGUGUUUUCACGCCCCACUGAUGUGCCAUAAAAACUCCCAGCUAAGGACCUCCUAUUACGAAUGCACCCGCUGUGUGUGAAGGAGGUGACUGAUGUUAAACUCACAUGCCAGAGAGAACUGGCCUAUGAGGAAACAGGAAGAAAGUACUCUCUCUCACACACUUUUUUUUUUUUGAGACAGAGUCUCGCUGUGUUGCCCAGCUGGAGUGCAGAGGCACGAUCUCGGCUCACUGCAACCUCUACCUCCCAAGUUCAAGUGAUUCUCAUGCCUCAGCCUACCGAGUAGCUGGGAUGACAGGUGUCUGUCACCACGCCCAGCUAAUUUUUGUAUUUUCAGUAGAGACGGGGUUUUGCCAUGUUGGCCAGGCUGGUCUCGAACUCCCAACCUCAAGUGCACUGCCCACCUCAGCCUCCCAAUGUGCUGGGAUUACAGGUGUGAGUUACUGCAUGCAGCCAGAAGAAAGUAUUCUCCAUAUCACUGCAUUCACCUACUGGAGACUUCUUUCCUCAGGAAGCCAAGACCCAGAAGCAAAAUGACUGGAAAUCAAAGAUGGACAUUAAGAGCACAUUCAUCUUCUUCAUCAGCUGCUGACAACUAUUACUCAGGUUAAACAGAAACCAGCCCUUUGGAAAGACGAGCUGCACCGCUGAUAUCAACCAAUGGUCUGACACUGCCCCUUCCUUUUGCAGUUUCUGCACAACUAACCAGCAUUCCUUCCUGAUAACAGACUGCCCACAAUGGAGUGGUUCUGG
RNAcentral lists this long non-coding RNA (845 nucleotides) under Homo sapiens (human). Its description in RNAcentral is "HSALNT0149887". The record is from RNAcentral. Lineage: Eukaryota; Metazoa; Chordata; Mammalia; Primates; Hominidae.